Molecule: ribosomal RNA, 98 nt
Filed under: Anopheles aconitus
Lineage: Eukaryota; Metazoa; Arthropoda; Insecta; Diptera; Culicidae
Description: partial 5.8S ribosomal RNA
Source: RNAcentral
CUGAUGUGACUGCAGGACACAUGAACACCGACACGUUGAACGCAUAUGGCGCAUCGGACGUUUAAACCCGACCGAUGUACACAUUCUUGAGUGCCUAC